Molecule: long non-coding RNA, 892 nt
Organism: Nyctereutes procyonoides (raccoon dog)
Lineage: Eukaryota; Metazoa; Chordata; Mammalia; Carnivora; Canidae
Exons: 3
Source: RefSeq, a predicted model, not a curated record
UCUCGAAGCACUGGCCCGCCUCCCGGAGCUGCCGGCAGCUGAACUUACUGGGCAUCGCGGCGGCGGCUGCGGCCCAGGCAGGAGGGUCCGCGGAAAUGAAACUGAAAGUCGCCGCCGCGGAUAGAAACAGCACAAGCAGGGGGAGUGGCAGAGGGAGAAGGAAAAGUAGAUUCCUCACCGAGCAAGAAGCGGGACAAGCCGGCUCAGGGUUCGAUUAUGGGACUGUGGGAUAAUGACCUGAGCAGAAGGCAAAUGCUUACCCAACUGAGCCACUCAGGCACACCCUCCACACCCUCUCUGACACUGAGAUUAUUCUGGGUGCUGUGUUGAAGACAGCCUAGCCUGCUGGCUGGUGAGGAGGAAGCAAGAGUACUAGCAGGGACACCACAGAGAAGACUAUUGCCAUAAUCUAGGUGAGGAAUCACAGUGGCGUCUUCCAGAGUAUUUGGAAUAAAGGUGUGGUGAGAAACAGUCAAAUUCUGGGUGUAUUCUGACGGCAGAGCCUACAGGAUUUCCUAAUAGACUAUAUGUGGAUUGUGAAAGAAACAGGAAUCAAAGAUGACACUAAAUUUUCUGGCCUGAGCAACUAAAGAAUGAAGAUGUCUUAAGAGGCAAAGGACUACAGAAGCUGUAAUACGUAAAAUUUUGAUAAGUAAAGGCUUCCUUUCAGCUAUGUAAAAACAAUGUUCACUGCUGUUAAAAGUUAAAGGGUGCCCUGCCCCAAAAUCUGCCAUGGUCUUGGUGUUGCGUAUAUAUCUCUUUUAAGGAGGAAAAUGUCAUUAAAAUGUUAGACUAUAUAAUUAACUUCCCUGCUUCCAACUCCAUGCUUAAAGUGUGAAAAAAUUGUAACUUGAUUUCCCACGUUCCUGACCUACCUGAAAAAUGUUUCUAG